GACAGAGGAUGCAAGCGUUAUCCGGAAUGAUUGGGCGUAAAGCGUCUGUAGGUGGCAUAGUAAGCAGAUAGUGAAAUUGUGUGGCUCAACCAUACACCCAUUAUCUGAACUGCUAAGCUAGAGUAUAUGAGAGGUAGCUGGAAUUCCUAGUGUAGGAGUGAAAUCCGUAGAUAUUAGGAGGAACACCGAUGGCGUAGGCAGGCUACUGGCAUAUUACUGACACUAAGGCACGAAAGCGUGGGGAGCGAACGGG
RNAcentral lists this ribosomal RNA (253 nucleotides) under uncultured bacterium. RNAcentral describes it as "partial 16S ribosomal RNA". It matches the Rfam family "Bacterial small subunit ribosomal RNA", at positions 524 to 776 of the family's 1533-position model. The record is from RNAcentral.